UCUUCCCUCUUUCUUCGUGCCUAAUACAUGCAAGUCGAGCGAACGGACGAGAAGCUUGCUUCUCUGAUGUUAGCGGCGGACGGGUGAGUAACACGUGGAUAACCUACCUAUAAGACUGGGAUAACUUCGGGAAACCGGAGCUAAUACCGGAUAAUAUUUUGAACCGCAUGGUUCAAAAGUGAAAGACGGUCUUGCUGUCACUUAUAGAUGGAUCCGCGCUGCAUUAGCUAGUUGGUAAGGUAACGGCUUACCAAGGCAACGAUGCAUAGCCGACCUGAGAGGGUGAUCGGCCACACUGGAACUGAGGCACGGUCCAGACUCCUACGGGAGGCAGCAGUAGGGAAUCUUCCGCAAUGGGCGAAAGCCUGACGGAGCAACGCCGCGUGAGUGAUGAAGGUCUUCGGAUCGUAAAACUCUGUUAUUAGGGAAGAACAUAUGUGUAAGUAACUGUGCACAUCUUGACGGUACCUAAUCAGAAAGCCACGGCUAACUACGUG
This 497-nucleotide ribosomal RNA is filed under the name uncultured bacterium. RNAcentral describes it as "partial 16S ribosomal RNA". It matches the Rfam family "Bacterial small subunit ribosomal RNA", at positions 36 to 507 of the family's 1533-position model. The record is from RNAcentral.